CCUACGGGAGGCAGCAGUGGGGAAUUUUGCGCAAUGCUCGUAAGAGUGACGCCGCGACGCCGCGUGAAUGACGAAGGCCUUCGGGUCGUAAAGUUCUUUCGACAGGGAAGAAAAUGCCUAUAAGUAACUGUGUAUGUAUUGACGGUACCUGUAUAAGCAGCCCCGGCUAACUCCGUGCCAGCAGCCGCGGUAAUACGGAGGGGGCGAGCGUUGUUCGGAGGGACUGGGCGUAAAGAGCACGUAGGCGGUGUUGUAAGUCAUUAGUCAAAGACUAGAGCUCAACUUUAGUAAGGCUAGUGAUACUAUAAUACUAGAGUAUCAGAGAGGAUUGCAGAAUUCCUGGUGUAGCGGUGAAAUGCGUAGAUAUCAGGAGGAAUACCGUUAGCGAAGGCGGCAAUCUGGCUGGAAACUGACGCUGAGGUGCGAAAGCGUGGGUAGCAAACAGGAUUAGAUACCCCUGUAGUC
This 465-nucleotide ribosomal RNA is filed under the name uncultured bacterium. Its description in RNAcentral is "partial 16S ribosomal RNA". It matches the Rfam family "Bacterial small subunit ribosomal RNA", at positions 338 to 795 of the family's 1533-position model. The record is from RNAcentral.